GUGUCCGCCGCCGCGGUAAUACGAAGGGUGCAGCGUUAAUCGGAAUUACUGGGCGUAAAGGGUGCGUAGGCGGUUCGUUAAGUCUGUCGUGAAAUCCCCGGGCUCAACCUGGGAAUGGCGAUGGAUACUGGCGAGCUAGAGUGUGUCAGAGGAUGGUGGAAUUCCCGGUGUAGCGGUGAAAUGCGUAGAGAUCGGGAGGAACAUCAGUGGCGAAGGCGGCCAUCUGGGACAACACUGACGCUGAAGCACGAAAGCGUGGGGAGCAAACAGGAUUUUAUACCCUGGUAGUCCACGCCCUAAACGAUGCGAACUGGAUGUUGGUCUCAACUCGGAGAUCAGUGUCGAAGCUAACGCGUNAAGUUCGCCGCCUGGGGAGUACGGUCGCAAGACUGAAACUCAAAGAAAUUGACGGGA
This 414-nucleotide ribosomal RNA is filed under the name uncultured Gammaproteobacteria bacterium. Its description in RNAcentral is "bacterial SSU rRNA". It matches the Rfam family "Bacterial small subunit ribosomal RNA", at positions 505 to 918 of the family's 1533-position model. The record is from RNAcentral. Lineage: Bacteria; Pseudomonadati; Pseudomonadota; Gammaproteobacteria.